CUGCAGCCAGUUCACCAACCAGGCUCCUUUACUCUGGGGGCCUGGUGCACAACAGCUUCAAACAGUAGCCUCCUUGGCAGCCUGUACAGCUGUGGCUUGAAUGGGCUGACCUAUGGGACCUUGGGGACAGAU
Molecule: small nucleolar RNA, 132 nt
Filed under: Castor canadensis (American beaver)
Lineage: Eukaryota; Metazoa; Chordata; Mammalia; Rodentia; Castoridae
Description: Small nucleolar RNA SNORA70 (ENSCCNG00000022781.1)
Rfam family: Small nucleolar RNA SNORA70
About the family: snoRNA U70 seems to be exclusive to mammals and is a member of the H/ACA class of snoRNA which contain H (ANANNA) and ACA box motifs. H/ACA box snoRNAs are involved in the conversion of uridines to pseudouridines (5-ribosyluracil) a constituent of structural RNAs (transfer, ribosomal, small nuclear, and small nucleolar).
Source: Rfam by way of RNAcentral